This 216-nucleotide ribosomal RNA is filed under the name uncultured prokaryote. RNAcentral describes it as "partial 16S ribosomal RNA". It matches the Rfam family "Bacterial small subunit ribosomal RNA", at positions 524 to 739 of the family's 1533-position model. The record is from RNAcentral.
UACAGAGGGUGCGAGCGUUAAUCGGAAUUACUGGGCGUAAAGCGUGCGCAGGCGGUGAUGUAAGACAGAUGUGAAAUCCCCGGGCUCAACCUGGGAACUGCGUUUGUGACUGCAUCACUCGAGUACGGCAGAGGGAGGUGGAAUUCCACGUGUAGCGGUGAAAUGCGUAGAUAUGUGGAAGAAUACCGGUGGUGAAGACGGUUUUCUGGGCUAAAA